Molecule: ribosomal RNA, 385 nt
Filed under: Mabuya sp.
Lineage: Eukaryota; Metazoa; Chordata; Lepidosauria; Squamata; Scincidae
Description: partial 12S rRNA
Rfam family: Bacterial small subunit ribosomal RNA
Source: RNAcentral
GCUUAGCCCUAAACAUAGACAAUAAAGACACAAUAUUGUCCGCCAGAGAAUUACAAGUGAAAAACUAGAAACUCCAAGGACUUGGCGGUGCUCCAUAUCACCCUAGAGGAGCCUGUCCUAUAAUCGAUAACCCACGCUAUACCUCACCACUUCUUGCAACUCAGCCUAUAUACCGCCGUCGUCAGCCUACCUUGUGAAAGAAAUAAAGUAGGCAAAAUAGCCAACAGCUAAAACGUCAGGUCAAGGUGUAGCAAAUGAAAUGGAAGAGAUGGGCUACACUCUCUAUUACAGAGAAUACGAACGGCCUAAUGAAACUAAGACCUUAAGGUGGAUUUAGCAGUAAUAUAAAAGAGAUAGUUUAUCUGAAACUUGCUCUGGAGCGCGC